CCUACGGGGGGCAGCAGUCGGGAAUAUUGCUCAAUGGAGGAAACUCUGACGCAGUGACGCCGCGUAUAGGAAGACGGUCCUCGGAUUGUAAACUAUUGUCGUUAGGGAAGUUAAAAGACUGUACCUAAGGAGGAAGCACCUGCUAACUAUGUGACAGCAGCCGCGGUAAGACAUCGGGGGCGAGCGUUAUCCGGAAUUAUUGGGUGUAAAGGGUGCGUAGACGGAAGAACAAGUUGGUUGUGAAAUCCCUCGGCUCAACUGGAGAACUGCAACCAAAACUGUUCGCCUUGAGUGUCGGAGAGGAGAGUGGAAUUCGUAGUGUAGCGGUGAAAUGCGUAGAUAUUAGGAGGAACACCAGUGGCGAAGGCGACUUUCUGGACGAUAACUGACGCUGAGGCACGAAAGUGUGGGGAGCAAACAGGAUUAGAUACCCCAGUAGUC
This 441-nucleotide ribosomal RNA is filed under the name uncultured bacterium. RNAcentral's name for it is "partial 16S ribosomal RNA". It matches the Rfam family "Bacterial small subunit ribosomal RNA", at positions 338 to 795 of the family's 1533-position model. The record is from RNAcentral.